RNAcentral lists this ribosomal RNA (979 nucleotides) under Bacillus cereus. RNAcentral describes it as "bacterial SSU rRNA". It matches the Rfam family "Bacterial small subunit ribosomal RNA", at positions 483 to 1460 of the family's 1533-position model. Lineage: Bacteria; Bacillati; Bacillota; Bacilli; Caryophanales; Bacillaceae. The record is from RNAcentral.
CCAGAAAGCCACGGCUAACUACGUGCCAGCAGCCGCGGUAAUACGUAGGUGGCAAGCGUUAUCCGGAAUUAUUGGGCGUAAAGCGCGGCGCAGGUGGUUUCUUAAGUCUGAUGUGAAAGCCCACGGCUCAACCGUGGAGGGGUCAUUGGAAACUGGGAGACUUGAGUGCAGAAGGAGGAAAGUGGAAUUCCAUGUGUAGCGGUGAAAUGCGUAGAGAUAUGGAGGAACACCAGUGGCGAAGGCGACUUUCUGGUCGGUAACUGACAUUGAGGCGCGAAAGCGUGGGGAGCAACCAGGAUUAGAUACCCUGGUAGUCCACGCCGUAAACGAUGAGUGUUAAGUGUUAGAGGGUUUCCGCCCUUUAGUGCUGAAGUUAACGCAUUAACCACUCCCCCUGGGGAGUACGGCCGCAAGGCUGAAAUUCAAAGGAAUUGACGGGGGCCCGCCCAAGCGGUGGACCAUGUGGUUUAAUUGGAAGCAACGGGAAGACCCUUACCAGGUCUUGACAUCUUCUGACAACCCUAGAGAUAGGGCUUUUCCUUCGGGACCAGAGUGCCAGGUGGUCCAUGGUUGUCGUCAGCUCGUGUCGUGAGAUGUUGGGUUAAGUCCCGCAACGAGCGCAACCCUUGUUUUUAGUUGCCAUCAUUAAGUUGGCCAUUUUAAGGUGACUGCCGGUGCCAAACCGGAGGAAGGUGGGGAGGACGUCAAAUCAUCAUCCCCCUUAUGCCCUGGGCUACACACGUGUUCCAAUGGACGGUACAAAGAGCUGCAAGACCGGGAGGGGGAGCUAAUUUCAUAAACCCGUUUUCAGUUCGGAUUGUAGGCUGCAAUUCGCUUCCAUGAAGCUGGAAUCGUUAGUAAUCGCGGAUCACCAUGCCGCGGUGAAUACGUUCCCGGCCCUUGUCCACACCCCCCGUCCCACCACGAGAGUUUGUACCACCGGAAGUCGGUGGGGUACCCUUUGGAGCCAGCCGCCUAA